UUAAGGGCACGAAAUAAUUUGAUCUAUAAAUAUAUUGUAUAUUAGUUUUAUAAAAUAUAUGUUGCAACAUAUAUUUAAAAUAUGUUUAUAGGGGCGACAGACUUGUCAAAAUUUAAGAUAUCUUGAUGAUUAUUAAAAGUAUUUAGUACUGAAAACAAUCAAUAAGUAAUAAGAUUUAUUGAGAAGAUAAAUUAUAUUAUAUAUUAUAAAUAAUGAAGAAUUAAUUUUUACAUUUAGUUUUUUAGAAAAAUAUUAAUAAUUAAUAGUUUAUUUUAUUUAAUAAUUUAUAAAAAUUAACUAUUGUUUUUAUUAAUAAUGUUUAUAUUAGUAAUUAAAAAUUUUAAGUAAAAUUUAUGUAAGGAAUUCGGCAAAUAAAUUUGUUCAACUGUUUAUCAAAAACAUAGCUUAAUGAUAUUUUAUAUUAAGUUAAUUCUGCUCAAUGAUUUAAUUAAAUAGCCGCAGUACUUUGACUGUGCAAAGGUAGCAUAAUAAAUUGACUUAUAAUUGAAGUCGGGAAUGAAUGAAUAAUUGAAUAUAAGCUGUCUAAUGUAAAUUUUAAUUAAUUUCCUAAGUAAGUGAAAAUUCUUACAGUAUAUUUUAUUAGACGAGAAGACCCUUGAAAUUUAAAUAAGUAUAAUAUAUUUAUAUUUGAAUAUUAAUAAUUUUUGUUGGGGCGACAGAUUUACAAUUAACUUAAUUUAUAUAACAGAAUUAAACGAAUAAUAUUAAUAAAAAGUAAAUUACUCAAGGGAUAACAGCAUAAUUUAUAAAUAAGUUUGUGACCUCGAUGUUGGACUAGGGGACUUUAAGUUUAGAAGAUUUAAAGGUGGGUUCUGUUCGAACUUUAUUUCCUACAUGA
Molecule: ribosomal RNA, 859 nt
Filed under: Hojeda sp. 1 MS-2014
Lineage: Eukaryota; Metazoa; Mollusca; Gastropoda; Stylommatophora; Thysanophoridae
Description: partial 16S ribosomal RNA
Source: RNAcentral